RNAcentral lists this ribosomal RNA (484 nucleotides) under uncultured bacterium. Its description in RNAcentral is "partial 16S ribosomal RNA". It matches the Rfam family "Bacterial small subunit ribosomal RNA", at positions 28 to 507 of the family's 1533-position model. The record is from RNAcentral.
AUUGAACGCUGGCGGCAUGCUUUACACAUGCAAGUCGAACGGCAGCGCGGGCUUCGGCCUGGCGGCGAGUGGCGAACGGGUGAGUAAUGCAUCGGAACGUGCGCAGUAGUGGGGGAUAGCCCGGCGAAAGCCGGAUUAAUACCGCAUACGACCUGAGGGUGAAAGCGGGGGACCGAAAGGCCUCGCGCUAUUGGAGCGGCCGAUGUCGGAUUAGCUAGUUGGUGGGGUAAAGGCUUACCAAGGCGACGAUCCGUAGCUGGUCUGAGAGGACGACCAGCCACACUGGGACUGAGACACGGCCCAGACUCCUACGGGAGGCAGCAGUGGGGAAUUUUGGACAAUGGGGGCAACCCUGAUCCAGCCAUGCCGCGUGCGGGAAGAAGGCCUUCGGGUUGUAAACCGCUUUUGUUCGGGAAGAAAUCCUCUGGGCUAAUACCCCGGGGGGAUGACGGUACCGGAAGAAUAAGCACCGGCUAACUACGUG